This 254-nucleotide ribosomal RNA is filed under the name uncultured bacterium. Its description in RNAcentral is "partial 16S ribosomal RNA". It matches the Rfam family "Bacterial small subunit ribosomal RNA", at positions 524 to 776 of the family's 1533-position model. The record is from RNAcentral.
UACGUAGGGUGCGAGCGUUGUCCGGAAUUAUUGGGCGUAAAGAGCUCGUAGGCGGUGUGUCGCGUCGAUCGUGAAAACUUUCAGCUUAACUGGGAGCUUGCGGUCGAUACGGGCAUCACUGGAGUUCGGCAGGGGAGACUGGAAUUCAAGGUGUAGCGGUGAAAUGCGCAGAUAUCUUGAGGAACACCGGUGGCGAAGGCGGGUCUCUGGGCCGAUACUGACGCUGAGGAGCGAAAGCCAGGGGAGCGAACGGG